AAUAGAUACCCUGGUAGUCCACGCCGUAAACGGUGGGCACUAGGUGUGGGCAACAUUCCACGUUGUCCGUGCCGCAGCUAACGCAUUAAGUGCCCCGCCUGGGGAGUACGGCCGCAAGGCUAAAACUCAAAGGAAUUGACGGGGGCCCGCACAAGCGGCGGAGCAUGUGGCUUAAUUCGACGCAACGCGAAGAACCUUACCAAGGCUUGACAUACACCGGAAAGCAUCAGAGAUGGUGCCCCCCUUGUGGUCGGUGUACAGGUGGUGCAUGGCUGCCGUCAGCUCGUGUCGUGAGAUGUUGGGUUAAGUCCCGCAACGAGCGCAACCCUUGUCCCGUGUUGCCAGCAACUCUUCGGAGGUUGGGGACUCACGGGAAACCGCCGGGGUCAACUCGGAGGAAGGUGGGGACGACGUCAAGUCAUCAUGCCCCUUAUGUCUUGGGCUGCACACGUGCUACAAUGGCCGGUACAAUGAGCUGCGAUACCGCAAGGUGGAGCGAAUCUCAAAAAGCCGGUCUCAGUUCGGAUUGGGGUCUGCAACG
Molecule: ribosomal RNA, 541 nt
Filed under: uncultured bacterium
Lineage: Bacteria
Description: bacterial SSU rRNA
Rfam family: Bacterial small subunit ribosomal RNA
Source: RNAcentral